GCACUGCUUGAUCAGCAGAGCUGCAAGACCGAACAAAGAAAGAAGAUUCUAUGAGUAGAUUGUGCUCAAAUAAGGUCAGGUUUUUUGGAGACCGCCAAUUUUUGGGAGACCCUGGUCUUUUGAGGAGAUCGAUCCCAUGAUUGUGAUGACCCGAUCUUCUGAGGAAGGAACGGAGUCCAGUGUUAAAGAAAUCACUAUGGCUGAUCUGUGAUUUGUGAUGGCGAGCCACCCAGCUUGAUCUUCAUUGACAACUUCACGCGGAGGACAGAAACAUCAUCUGUUGGAACGACUGAACUUCUCAUCGUCACCACGGUGUGGUAGGACUGUAUCCACACAGGACAUAGGACACAGGACAAGACUUUCAAUCAAACGCACACACUUUGG
Long non-coding RNA from Anguilla anguilla (European eel), 384 nucleotides. RefSeq lists it as uncharacterized. The record is from RefSeq and is a predicted model, not a curated record. Lineage: Eukaryota; Metazoa; Chordata; Actinopteri; Anguilliformes; Anguillidae. The transcript has 2 exons.